This 253-nucleotide ribosomal RNA is filed under the name uncultured bacterium. Its description in RNAcentral is "partial 16S ribosomal RNA". It matches the Rfam family "Bacterial small subunit ribosomal RNA", at positions 524 to 776 of the family's 1533-position model. The record is from RNAcentral.
UACGGGGGGGGUAAGCGUUGUUCGGAAUUACUGGGCGUAAAGGGCUCGUAGGCGGCCAACUAAGUCAUACGUGAAAUCCCUCAGCUUAACUGGGGAACUGCGUGUGAUACUGGAUGGCUUGGAUUUGGGAGAGGGAUGCGGAAUUCCAGGUGUAGCGGUGAAAUGCGCAGAUAUCAGGAGGAACACCGGUGGCGAAGGCGGUGGUCUGGGCCGGAACUGACGCUGAGGAGCGAAAGCGUGGGGAGCGAACAGG